Molecule: ribosomal RNA, 400 nt
Filed under: uncultured bacterium
Lineage: Bacteria
Description: bacterial SSU rRNA
Rfam family: Bacterial small subunit ribosomal RNA
Source: RNAcentral
UGAGGAAUAUUGGUCAAUGGGCGCAAGCCUGAACCAGCCAUCCCGCGUGCAGGAUGACGGCCCUAUGGGUUGUAAACUGCUUUUAUACAGGAAGAAAAAUCCCUACGUGUAGGGACUUGCCGGUACUGUAUGAAUAAGCAUCGGCUAACUCCGUGCCAGCAGCCGCGGUAAUACGGAGGAUGCAAGCGUUAUCCGGAUUCAUUGGGUUUAAAGGGUGCGUAGGCGGCUUUUUAAGUCAGUGGUGAAAUCCUGUCGCUCAACGAUAGAAUUGCCAUUGAUACUGAAAAGCUUGAGUUCAGUUGAGGUAAGCGGAAUGUGUAGUGUAGCGGUGAAAUGCUUAGAUAUUACACAGAACACCGAUUGCGAAGGCAGCUUACAAACUGACACUGACGCUGAUGCA